This 113-nucleotide ribosomal RNA is filed under the name Caerostris darwini. The record is from RNAcentral. Lineage: Eukaryota; Metazoa; Arthropoda; Arachnida; Araneae; Araneidae.
AUACGGCCAUACCAUGCUAAAUAUACCGGUUCUCGUUCGAUCACCGAAGUCGAGCAUCAUUGGGCGCGGUCAGUACUUGGGUGGGUGACCACCUGUGAACACCGCGUGCCGUU